This 323-nucleotide unclassified non-coding RNA is filed under the name soil metagenome. RNAcentral describes it as "partial contains 5.8S ribosomal RNA, internal transcribed spacer 2, and large subunit ribosomal RNA". The stretch from base 1 to 120 matches the Rfam family "5.8S ribosomal RNA", at positions 35 to 154 of the family's 154-position model. The record is from RNAcentral.
GAUGAAGAACGUAGCGAAAUGCGAUAAGUAAUGCGAAUUGCAGAAUUCAGCGAGUCAUCGAAUCUUUGAACGCACAUUGCGCCCUGUGGUAUUCCGCAGGGCAUGCCUGUUCGAGCGUCAUUUCAACCCUCAAGCUCUGCUUGGUGUUGGGCCCUGCCCGCUGCGGCCGGCCCUAAAGACAGUGGCGGUGCCGCCUGGCCCUGAGCGUAGUACAUCUCUCGCUCCAGUGCCCGGUGGUAGCCUGCCAGAACCCCAACUCUCGUGGUUGACCUCGGAUCAGGUAGGGAUACCCGCUGAACUUAAGCAUAUCAAUAAGCGGAGGA